Acidobacteria bacterium RBG_16_64_8 is the source of this 214-nucleotide non-coding RNA. The record is from Rfam. NCBI's taxonomy places the organism in Bacteria, Pseudomonadati, Acidobacteriota.
CAAAUCCUGCCCGGUAGAGCUUGGUCAGCAGCCGGAAGCGAGUCUUGCGUGGCGCUGGGGUGACUCAGCACACGAAGCGUAGACAGCGAUUGCAGAGGCCGUGCUAUUGAGCCCCGAAAUCGCGUAGUGGGAGCUUUCGUCGUCAGGAAGACGGGAGCAGCACCGCCGUGUCGUAUGGACCUGGCACGAACGGUCUCACCGGGGUCCGAGAACA